Molecule: ribosomal RNA, 236 nt
Filed under: uncultured bacterium
Lineage: Bacteria
Description: partial 16S ribosomal RNA
Rfam family: Bacterial small subunit ribosomal RNA
Source: RNAcentral
AUUGAACGCUGGCGGCAUGCUUUACACAUGCAAGUCGAACGGCAGCACGGGGGCGAACCCUCGUGGCGAGUGGCGAACGGGUGAGUAACACAUCGGAACGUGCCCACGUUGUGGGGAGUAACCUAUCGAAAGGUAGGCUAAUACCGCAUGAGCUCGGCAAGAGGAAAGCGGGGGACGUCAGCGAUGGGCCUCGCGCGACUGGAGCGGCCGAUGUCCGAUUAGCUAGUUGGUGGGGU